CAUUAGGAUAAGAAACCAGCUAUGGCCA
Molecule: non-coding RNA, 28 nt
Filed under: Mus musculus (house mouse)
Lineage: Eukaryota; Metazoa; Chordata; Mammalia; Rodentia; Muridae
Source: RNAcentral